RNAcentral lists this ribosomal RNA (251 nucleotides) under uncultured bacterium. RNAcentral describes it as "partial small subunit ribosomal RNA". It matches the Rfam family "Bacterial small subunit ribosomal RNA", at positions 26 to 278 of the family's 1533-position model. The record is from RNAcentral.
AGGACGAACGCUGGCGGCGUGCUUAACACAUGCAAGUCGAACGGAAAGGCCCGCUUGCGGGUACUCGAGUGGCGAACGGGUGAGUAACACGUGGGCAACCUGCCCUCAGCUUCGGGAUAACACUUGGAAACAGGUGCUAAUACCGGAUAAUAACCUUUCAUCGCAUGGUGGUUGGUUCAAAGUUUUUUCGGCUGAGGAUGGGCCCGCGGCCUAUCAGCUUGUUGGUGGGGUAAUGGCCUACCAAGGCGACG